CUUUUAGGUGCGUCUUGUUGUCACGGAUGCUUGUGUUAAAAUUGGCUACAGGCAAGGACAACCUCAGCCUAACAUGUGUUAAUCAUUUGAUUGUUGACUGUUGAGUUGGGGGACUACUGUUUGUUAUCCAUUGUACCUGUUGAAUGGACACAAUGCAGUAUCAACUCGGUUGCAAUGGAAGUUGAUGUUCUCGUUUUCCUGGUGUAUGGCAGCUUAAGUGAAGCAUGGAUUUCAACAAAUAAGCGAGUAGGAAACUUGCCAUUAUUGAUUCUACCAGAUAGCACUGCUCUUUUUCCAUUACUAAAUGCAGUUUUGUUUUUAUUGAUAAUUCUAUUUAUUGUAGCUUUUGCGAGCAAGUGACAGCAUUAAUGUUUUGCUAUAAAUAUAAUAUUGCAUUAAUGAAUAUUAUUACAGUCUCCAUGAAAAUGAUUACUUUGUUAUGAAUUAAAGUUUAUGAUAAUUUAGUCUCACAUGAUUAAGUGAGAAACAGGAAGGGAAUACGCUAACUUUGCACACGAUGAAUUUUGUUCUGAAAGAGUGAAGGUGUUGAUAAAACUUUGUAUAUAUAGAUGGCAAAAAGCAUCUGUUGAACCUAAAUUAUGACUAAAAUUAUUAUUAUAGGCAUAUAUAAUAAUAUCUUAUGUUUGAUGUAAUACACAAUAGUCUCUAGAGCUUUUGUUUUAUCCCCUUUUGACUUCAUCACAAAAUAAA
Amphimedon queenslandica is the source of this 711-nucleotide long non-coding RNA. RefSeq lists it as uncharacterized. The record is from RefSeq and is a predicted model, not a curated record. The transcript has 3 exons. Lineage: Eukaryota; Metazoa; Porifera; Demospongiae; Haplosclerida; Niphatidae.